UUGAAUAAUUUGAAACUCCAUCUUACAGACUUGUAGAAUUUGAAGACUUCAACUUGCACACUUGAAGAAUUUGAAGUCUUCAACU
This 85-nucleotide microRNA precursor is filed under the name Solanum tuberosum (potato). RNAcentral's name for it is "MIR8024 microRNA precursor family". It matches the Rfam family "MIR8024 microRNA precursor family". Lineage: Eukaryota; Viridiplantae; Streptophyta; Magnoliopsida; Solanales; Solanaceae. The record is from Rfam by way of RNAcentral.